Syngnathoides biaculeatus (alligator pipefish) is the source of this 976-nucleotide long non-coding RNA. RefSeq lists it as uncharacterized. The record is from RefSeq and is a predicted model, not a curated record. Lineage: Eukaryota; Metazoa; Chordata; Actinopteri; Syngnathiformes; Syngnathidae. The transcript has 3 exons.
GUCGGUGAGGCUGCUGAUGAGCGCCUGGCUGAGGCGAGCCAGCUCCUCCAGGAGGCCGUCGUUGUGGCGCUCCAUCAUCUUGUUCUCCUCCUCGAUGCUCUUCAGGUUGCACUCCAUCGACGAGAUCUGCUUUCAGGAGUCGCCAGAUGUUGUAUGGAAAGAAAGCGGGUCAACGUGGGCUGGAUAUCGUCAACAAAUGAGCGGAAUGAAAAGAAAACAAAAGCCUCCCAAGCCAGAUUAAGCAACAUUCAGGCCAACCGGCGUGCGACUUCCUCAAGAAAAAGGAAGUGAGCGGCCCACUUCUCGAUGCGAUCUUCUUUACACCAUCCGACCUUUCAAUUCCAUGCGCUUCGACCUCCCAGACUCAAAGCUAUCAGUUUCUUUUUCCACCAUGUGAAAGACUUUCAGUGCGCUAAUUAAAGCACCGCAUUUAAAGGGAACGUGAGAAGCCGCUGUGAUUGGACAGGAUUGAAGUGACUGAGAUGGCACCCACAGCAGCGUAAACGUCUCUUUUAGCCGGUACACGGAAUUACCACGUCGUGCCAGAUAAACUGCAGUCACGAAAACAGAGCCCGUAAUCUUACGAGAAUUAGAUUAUUUCACGGGAAUAAAGUCGGAUAUUUAGAAAAGUUAAAUUGGAAAUGCAUGUUGUAAUAAAUAAUAAACAAUAGAAUUUAAAAAGGAAUACUACAUAGUAGAAUAAUACGUAAAAUGUUGUGAGACAAAAAGUUCUUGUUUUCUGAGGACUUAAUCGUACUCUUAUUUACAUUAGAAAAGACUUGCAUGAGGGGAAAAAAUAUUUUUAUGAAAAUACAUUUUUAAUUGUAUGAGAAAAGUUGAAUCUUGGUGGGGGUGGAAUAUUCUGCUGAAAAGUUUUACGAAAAGAAUAUUGUAAUCACUCAUUGAAUUAUUAUUGUAUGAGGAAAAAGUCAGAAUCACAUGGUAAUAAAUUAUAAUUUAUGAGAAUAAAGUUUCA